RNAcentral lists this ribosomal RNA (465 nucleotides) under uncultured bacterium. Its description in RNAcentral is "partial 16S ribosomal RNA". It matches the Rfam family "Bacterial small subunit ribosomal RNA", at positions 338 to 795 of the family's 1533-position model. The record is from RNAcentral.
CCUACGGGGGGCUGCAGUGGGGAAUAUUGCGCAAUGGGCGAAAGCCUGACGCAGCGACGCCGCGUGAGGGAUGAAGGUCUUCGGAUCGUAAACCUCUGUCAGCAGGGAAGAACAGUCACUGUGCUAAUCAGCAGUGAAUUGACGGUACCUGCAAAGGAAGCACCGGCUAACGCCGUGCCAGCAGCCGCGGUAAUACGGAGGGGGCGAGCGUUAAUCGGAAUUACUGGGCGUAAAGGGCUCGUAGGCGGGAUGACAAGGCCAGGGUGAAAUCCCCGGGCUCAACGCGGGAACUGCCUUUGAAACUGGCAAGCUGGAGGGGGUGAGAGGAAAGUGGAAUUCGAGGUGUAGGAGUGAAAUCCGUAGAUAUCUGGAGGAACAUCAGUGGCGAAGGCGACUAACUGGCACAUAACUGACGCGGAGGAGCGAAAGCGUGGGUAGCAAACAGGAUUAGAUACCCGGGUAGUC